ACACGACUACAUUAGACUACCCCUGUAGUCCAGGGUGUAAACGCUGCGGGCUUGGUGUUGGGGGUCCUUCGAGGGCGCCCAGUGCCGGAGAGAAGUUGUUAAGCCUGCUGCUUGGGAGUACGUCCGCAAGGAUGAAGCUUAAAGGAAUUGGCGGGGAGCACCGCAACGGGAGGAGCGUGCGGUUCAAUUGGAUUCAACGCCGGACAACUCACCAGGAGCGACGGUUACAUGAAGGCCAGGCUGAUGACCUUGCCUGAUUUUCCG
Molecule: ribosomal RNA, 264 nt
Filed under: uncultured archaeon
Lineage: Archaea
Description: partial 16S ribosomal RNA
Rfam family: Archaeal small subunit ribosomal RNA
Source: RNAcentral